This 405-nucleotide long non-coding RNA is filed under the name Malus domestica (apple). RNAcentral describes it as "long non-coding RNA (MDOM_LNC010096)". Lineage: Eukaryota; Viridiplantae; Streptophyta; Magnoliopsida; Rosales; Rosaceae. The record is from RNAcentral.
CUCUGGCGACAUCUUUUUGUAGAUGGAGAUGCAAAAGUUGUAAACCACAAGUACGACCAACGCUGCCUUCUGAUUAGCUGGGAAUUGCAAAGAUGAAUUUCCUUCUAAUUAGUUUCUAUGGAAAGCUUACAGGAAAAGAAGGCUUUGACAGGCUAGCCAAAUGACGAGCUGUCUUGAUUUUGUGAACAUAGAAGAGGAAGAGUUUUGAAUCCGGGAUGUAUGCGUGAAAACCCUAACACCUUAUCCAUUAGAAUAUUAAACCACAUGCAAAAGAAGAAUGUAAGCUAAAAUAGCUAAUAUUGUUGAAGGUGGUGGCUAGCCAAAUUAACAUUUUGAGUCAUUUGGCUAGUUACAAUAACAAAAAUUUAGCUAGUACUGUUGGAGAUGCACGACAAUCAAACAUUU